Tympanuchus pallidicinctus (lesser prairie-chicken) is the source of this 5364-nucleotide long non-coding RNA. RefSeq lists it as uncharacterized. The record is from RefSeq and is a predicted model, not a curated record. The transcript has 5 exons. NCBI's taxonomy places the organism in Eukaryota, Metazoa, Chordata, Aves, Galliformes, Phasianidae.
UUUGCUGCUGGCUGCCGAUGGAGAAAUCCUCUUGGGCUGGAGAGCUGUUUUGUGAGCAACCUAUGUGAGCCAACAUGAACCUCAGCAAACUUGUCCACAGCUCCUGUCUGCUGAGGGGAUGGAGGCGGAUUCCAACACCGCUUUGUCAUGAGCUAACCAGCACGAAGAGGAGGCUUCUGUCAUUAGGCUAAGACCUUUUGUAUCUUCACCAGUAGCUCAGCGUAACCCUAAGGUGCCAUGGACCAGGGACUGAGGAGUCAUCAGGCCAGGAGGGGCUGCCGACACUCCCCAGAGCUGCAUCAAGACCUACCUGCCUUGGCAGGGAGAGCAAGGAGAAGGAAAAACUGCUUUCUCAGGAGAACUUUCCUGGCUGCCCACUGGUGCCAGUGGACAGGGACUCUUACAGAGAAGGCUGGGAGGCUGCGAGCCCUGCCGAGUGCCUUGCUCCAUUCCCCAAAUAGAAGUGCUCAGCAGUCACUGCUCCAAACAAGGUGCUUGGCAAAGGCAGCUGCUGCUUGGCAGUCUGCCCGGUGCCCCGAAAUAACGCUGCCGGCUGAGAGCAAACCUGCUGCAUCACCACUGCUCUCAGGAAGCCAAGCACCCCGUCGGGAUGGAUAAGCAAACAGAACGCAGCCCUCCCUUUCCCACAGAGCUCUAUCAAGACCAGAGCAUGCAGAAAAAGCAGGAAAACGACAAGGAAAUAUCACAAAAAUCAUGAAGCAAGUCCCUUUCGUUGGCUCCUGUCAAUGUUAUGAUGCUUCAUCUUGUUCAUAUGUAAGGAUGAAUCUCAAAGCAACGUACAGUCUCAUGGCACAGCUGAGCAGCAUCAUCUAAAACCACUGCUCACAGGACAAUAUGUAUGAAAUCAUUACUUCAGAAUGCUGUCAAGAGCUACCUAAACCCAGAACCUUCUACAAAGAUGGCAAAUACACAGAUGAAAAAUGACCAGUGCCUGCACCUCCUAUGACAAAAUGAGCAAACAAAAAUGAAUGACGUGCACUAUAACAGUGGAUGACACACACCAAAAUUCAGAGCAUCGCUUGCAUUUGGGAAGCACCCUGAGAUUCCUGGGUGCGAGGUGAGAGUGGAGGAGCUAGGAGAUGGAAAAGCAUCAGAGAAUGUCACAGAGUGUCUGGGGAGCCCUGGAGCCACUGCUGGCUGCGAGCUGGGAUUACCACCCAGGGAAGCCCCAUAAAAGGCCCGCUCUCUUCUCUGUCUCCUGCACUUGGGCACUGUUAGAGCUGCUUCUGCAUCUGGAGAGCAUCAUGGAACAGCACAUGGGUCCCUCGAGGACACCCGUCAGCCUGGCAUGUGGAACAGCUGAGAGACACCGGAAGAGAAAAAUAGGAGAAACCCAGUACUACACCCUUUUCAAGCUUGUUCUCCCCAGACUGCAGACUGGCUAUUUAUUAGAUUGUGACGUCUACAUAUUAGCUUUCACAAUUUAGCCUCUCCUCUGCAGAGUAUUUCCAUACGUAAAUUCAGUCCAGUGUGACGGACUUCAUUCGAAGGAGAACUAAAUUACAGUGAAGAACAAUGAGCAAUCACGUUAUAUUUUCUGGAAAGAAUGUUUGAUAAGAUGCUAUCAAAACAGAUGAAAUCAAACGCAAAAAAAAAAAACCCCAAAACUACAAUUUAUACUUCCCCAGAUAAUGCUCUCAGAGCAACAAAGAUCCCAGUUGCUAUCAUCACUGAAGCUCAACAAAUUUGCGGAAAUUGCUGACUGUUACAAUGAAGCAAACGUAGGAGCAGCAGUAGUUUCUGUCACGCAGGCAUUUACCUCCAGUCAUUUGGAGUCACAGGAGGUUAUAGACAGGGUGAGCAAGUCAAGCAAAACUGCGUUGGAGUUAUUAUGCAAUCUGAAAGACAAGGGGUGAGCAAGAAGGCAAGAGAAAUAGGGUGUGUUUGGUGUGCGUUAUUUUAACCCCUGAAGUAAUGAAAUGAAAAGCACAAAUGAAAAGCACGGCCUCUAGUCAUUUGGAUAUCUCACAAGCUCUAAGUGUGGAAGUAUUAAAAUGGAACCGUGAAACACAUUUUUGCUGGCUGGAUGUUACUAUAAUUAAUAGCAAUACAAACUCAAUGCUACCAUUUACAUGGACAAGUACUCUUCUCAAUUAGAGCAUCUAGCGGAUGAGCCAAAGUGUUUUUUUAAUCAGGAUUUCCAAAGCAUCUGCUUCAGAUUGAUAUUUUCAGGUCCCAACUGUAUUACUCCAACAGAGUUUCUAGCCAUCACAGUGAUGAACUGCAUUUUUUUUGCGACUGAACAUUUAUUUUCAAGCUUUUGAUGAUUUAACAAAUUGAUUUAUUUUUUUUUUAACAACAUACUGAAAUAUUACUGCUUUACUCACUAAUACUGGCACUACAAAGAAGCUGAACUUAAUGAUAGAAUCAUAAAGGUUGGAAAGGACCUCUAAGAUCAUCCAGUCCAACCACCAGCCCACCCCCACCAUGCUCACUGACCACAUCCCUCGGUGCCACAUCCACACGGUUCCUGAACACCUCCAGGGAUGGUCACUCCACCCCCUCCUUGGGCAGCCUGCACCGUUGCCUCCCCACUCCUGAGAAGAAAUGCAUCUGAACUCAACACUUCUCAUUCUAUCACUGUUCCCUAGGUGAAGAUGCUGACCCCCACUGUGCCACAAUUUCCUUUAAGGUCAUGGUAGAGACCAACGAGAUCUCUCUGAGCCUCCUCUUCUCCAGACUAAACAAUUUCACUUCCCUCAGCUGCUCCCCAUAAGACUUGUGUUCCAGACUCUCCACAGCUCUGUUGCCCUUCUCUGGACAUUCUUCAGGGCCUCACUGUCUUUCUUGCAGUGAGAGGCCCAGAACUGAACAUAGUACCUGAGGUGCAGCCUCACCAGAGCUGAGGACAAUCACCUCCCUGCUCUAGCUGACAACACUAAUUCUGAUACAAGCCAAGAUGCCACUGGCCUUCUUGGUCACCUGGGCACACUGCUGGCUCAUAAUCAGCCAGCUGUCAACUAACACCCCCAGACCCUUUUCCUCCGCACAGCAUUCUAGCCGCUCUGCCCCAAGCCUGUAGCGAUGCCUGGGGUUGUUGGGACCAAAAUGCAAGACCCAUCACUGGGACUUGUUGAACUUCAUCCGAUUGGUCUCAGUCCACAGAUCCAACCUGUCCAGUUUCCUCUGAAGGGUCUUCCUAACCCCAGGCAGAUCACUGCUUCCCCCCAACUUGGCAAACUCACUGAAAUCACACUCAAUCUCCUUGUCCAGAUCACCAAUAAACAUAUAAUUGGACCAGCCCCAAUAUCAACCCUAGGGGAACAUCAUUUGUGACUGAUCACCAUCUGCAUUUAAGACCAUUCACCACCACUCUCUGGGCUCAGCCUUCCAGCCAGUUCUUUACUCUGCAGAAAGAGAGAUCUGCCCUGCCCUACCUCACUGAUCUGGGAGCUUGCUAUUUAUGGCUGUCAGUGGCUUUCCUUGAAAUGGCCUCACCCUCCUCCACAGGGUUGACUGGAGCUCCCCAGCCCCCUCAGGACCCACAGAUAUCCAACACUGCAUGAAUGCCCCUCGAGAUGAUCUGGCACCUACGUUCAGCACAUGGUUGGAAAGACUCUGUGAAGCGUAAAAAUUCAUUUUUCAGCUUUUAAUGUAAACUACAGAAUUUAACGGUAAGAGCCCAGCUCUACCGCCAUGGUCCUUCCUGGAAAAGACUGAGGGAAAUGUGCUCAGAGACUGACUCAUCAUAAACUAAAUAGCAGAUCUGAGAGACAAUGAUGGGGUCAAACCUUUGGCUGAAGCAACAUGAAUGGACACAGAUGCUUAGGAUCAGCUUCCUGUUAUGGAGCUCAGAAUCUCACAGCACACAGCCUAUCAUGAAGUUAUGUUGACAUGAGAACCUAUUUUUAUGCUGUAAAGAAAAACUGUUUCAAGAAACUUAGGUUCUUGGAAAUGUACAUGUUUAGGAGAUUGAGCACAUUGCUUUCCAGCCCAGUGCAAGAGCACAGCACCUUAAGUAUGGGAAACCCUAAGGAAAUGACCAAGUCAAGUACAUUUUUUGGCCCAGGAUUAGAAAAAUGCAGUAGUUUAACUGAGAAAGAAGUUUACAGUACUCUGCUCCUGAGGGCUGAUAUUAUGUAGAACAUCUGGAUUCAUGUUCACACAAUAUUCAAAGGAGACAGAAGAAAGAGCUGCAGGGAGAAAAUACAGGAGGGCAUGACAAAGCCAAUGAGGAUGGCAAGCUAUAUUUAGCAGACAUGAAAGAAACCUCUUGUCUUUCUUGUGGACUCUAGAUACUCCCAAAACAUGUGCUAAGGACAGGCAUCCUUGUCGCUGGGGAGGGAGGAGCACAUGAUAAAAGCCAGAGGUUUCCAAUGUUAGAAAAUCAAAGGACUAUUUCUCUUCACUCCAAUCGCUCCUGGCCCUGUUGUUAUGGCAUUAUUUUAUAGUUACAACAGCACAGCCUUCUGUUGAGGAGAAUGCAGCAGAAAUCGUAAAAUAAGGCUACCUGGCAACAUGGACUGAAAUAGAACAAAAAACAGGUUAGGAGGGAGCAAGGUCUACUUCGACUAAGCACCCACUGCUCAAGAUAGAGACAAGCACAAUAGGGCUCCGGUCCUCUGCAAGUGCUCUGCCCUGACCUGAUUCACCAGUACCCCGAUUUGCCAUUUCCUCUGCUUGCAUUUUAUUUUGCAAGAUCGAUCCUUGUCUCAUAUUGCUUGUCUUGAACCGGAAGAGGCUCAGGAAAGGAUCAAACCACUCAGAUUCAUACUGGUGCAGGCAACAUAUUCCCACCCACAAACGGGUCCCACCUUUGCGUGCAUAGAGCAGGCUGCUGUAUGCAAGAGAAACACCAUGGCUUAUUUUCAUAUAUAAGCUGUAAAAAGCAGUUUUCACUUCCCUAAUAAGAUAUAUUCUUCCUCACAGCUAGUGUUGCAUAAAAGAAACUAAACAAAAUAUAGCCAAGAGUCUGUGCGCAUCUUCAUCUACUAAGCGUGAUUAUUCUAUAAUCAUAUGAGUGUACUAUCAAUCAGUGCUAUUAAAAGCCCAUCUAAGAAAUUCAUUUGGAAUUAAUACUCAAAAUGGAUGUUAAGCACACCUAACAAGAAAAAGAACAAAUCUCCCAAAUCUGAAUGCCUGUCUCUCUGGAAUUGGUAAUGAAAGUGCAGUAACAAAACCCACAUAAGUUACACAUUCCUCCAAUGCAAUGCACAAAUAUCCACAAUGAAAAAUACUCUAAAAAUAAAACCAAAGAAAAGGCACUGGGGCGUAGGAAGUGCUUCCUCUCCAACGACGCUUCUGUUAGCAUUUACACAAGAAUAUUUUCCGGGGAGCCUGAUGUGGAAACAGGUUGCUUUUACGCUAAGCAUACCGAGAAAAACUAAAUUCAGCAUUUUUACA